Molecule: ribosomal RNA, 254 nt
Filed under: uncultured bacterium
Lineage: Bacteria
Description: partial 16S ribosomal RNA
Rfam family: Bacterial small subunit ribosomal RNA
Source: RNAcentral
UACGUAGGGUCCAAGCGUUAUCCGGAAUCACUGGGCGUAAAGCGUGCGUAGGUGGCUUGUUAAGUGCAAUGCGAAAUCCUGUGGCUCAACCAUAUGGACUGUAUUGCAUACUGGCUAUCUAGAGGACAUGAGAGGCAAGUGGAAUUACCGGUGUAGCAGUGAAAUGCGUAGAGAUCGGUAGGAACACCAAUGGCGAAGGCAGCUUGCUGGCAUGUAUCUGACGCUAAGGCACGAAAGCGUGGGGAGCGAACAGG